RNAcentral lists this ribosomal RNA (275 nucleotides) under uncultured Rudanella sp. RNAcentral's name for it is "partial 16S ribosomal RNA". It matches the Rfam family "Bacterial small subunit ribosomal RNA", at positions 338 to 610 of the family's 1533-position model. The record is from RNAcentral. Lineage: Bacteria; Pseudomonadati; Bacteroidota; Cytophagia; Cytophagales; Cytophagaceae.
CCUACGGGGGGCUGCAGUAGGGAAUAUUGGGCAAUGGGCGAGAGCCUGACCCAGCCAUGCCGCGUGGAGGAAGACGGCCCUCUGGGUUGUAAACUCCUUUUAUCGGGGAAGAACGGCAGUCCUGCGGGAUUGUGUGACGGUACUCGAGGAAUAAGCACCGGCUAACUCCGUGCCAGCAGCCGCGGUAAUACGGAGGGUGCGAGCGUUGUCCGGAUUUAUUGGGUUUAAAGGGUGCGUAGGUGGUUUUUUAAGUCUGGUUUGAAAGUUGGUCGCUU